AGUGAACGCUGGCGGUAGGCCUAACACAUGCAAGUCGAACGGCAGCACAGGAGAGCUUGCUCUCUGGGUGGCGAGUGGCGGACGGGUGAGGAAUACAUCGGAAUCUACUUUUUCGUGGGGGAUAACGUAGGGAAACUUACGCUAAUACCGCAUACGACCUACGGGUGAAAGCAGGGGAUCUUCGGACCUUGCGCGAUUGAAUGAGCCGAUGUCGGAUUAGCUAGUUGGCGGGGUAAAGGCCCACCAAGGCGACGAUCCGUAGCUGGUCUGAGAGGAUGAUCAGCCACACUGGAACUGAGACACGGUCCAGACUCCUACGGGAGGCAGCAGUGGGGAAUAUUGGACAAUGGGCGCAAGCCUGAUCCAGCCAUACCGCGUGGGUGAAGAAGGCCUUCGGGUUGUAAAGCCCUUUUGUUGGGAAAGAAAUCCAGCUGGUUAAUACCCGGUUGGGAUGACGGUACCCAAAGAAUAAGCACCGGCUAACUUCGUGCCAGCAGCCGCAUAAG
This 506-nucleotide ribosomal RNA is filed under the name uncultured bacterium. Its description in RNAcentral is "partial 16S ribosomal RNA". It matches the Rfam family "Bacterial small subunit ribosomal RNA", at positions 29 to 523 of the family's 1533-position model. The record is from RNAcentral.